RNAcentral lists this ribosomal RNA (440 nucleotides) under uncultured bacterium. RNAcentral's name for it is "partial 16S ribosomal RNA". It matches the Rfam family "Bacterial small subunit ribosomal RNA", at positions 338 to 795 of the family's 1533-position model. The record is from RNAcentral.
CCUACGGGAGGCAGCAGUGGGGGAUAUUGCACAAUGGGGGAAACCCUGAUGCAGCGACGCCGCGUGGGUGAAGAAGCGCCUCGGCGCGUAAAGCCCUGUCAUCAGGGAAGAAAAUGACGGUACCUGACGAAGAAGCACCGGCUAACUACGUGCCAGCAGCCGCGGUAAUACGUAGGGGGCAAGCGUUAUCCGGAUUUACUGGGUGUAAAGGGGGCGCAGGCGGGGUUGCAAGCCAGGAGUGAAAGCCCGGGGCGCAACCCCAGAACUGCACUUGGAACUGGUUGGCUAGAGUGCGGGAGGGGCAGGUGGAAUUCCUGGUGUAGGGGUGAAAUGCGUAGAUAUCAGGAGGAACACCGGUGGCGAAGGCGGCCUGCUGGAAUGCAACUGACGUUGAGGCCCGAAAGCGUGGGGAGCAAACAGGAUUAGAUACCCGGGUAGUC